GAAAAAUAGUGCACAAUCUCCUUUUGCUCUAGCUAAUUACUUGUAACGGUCUUUUCCGGAUCUUCUGGAACUGGUAAUCUCCUUCCCGCUAUAUGCACAACAUUCUCCUCCUCCCUGAACGAAAUCAGUGGAGCCACAAUCAGCGUUAUUUCUUGUCGCCAUCGCCGUAAGCUGAUAGUACUCCGUUCCCCGCCGAUGGGAGUCAAACAGAAGUACAUUUUGCUUGGGAAGGAAGGCAUUGAUUGCCCUACUUGAAGCGAAAAGAUAUACUAAAAACAUCCUUCUGCAUUGUUAUGAUUCGACAGUAAAGCGCGAGCAGCUAUUUUGCCAACGAAUGCAUUUGUCACCAAAAGAUACGAUUUUUUUUGUAAACAAAUUUGUUUUUUCACGAGCAAUGGCCGAACAGCAAUUUUGACAUUGCGGUUCACCUAUAGUACAACACCUUGCCAGCGACUGUGUCUCAGACAAAGAUGCCAGAUAUUUUUUUUUCAAAUAACUUCAUCCAUGAAAGUGCAUAUGUUUUGUUAUAAAAAACUACCCCCAAAAAUCGUCGAUAGCGUACAAAAUUCAUCAUCGAUCACUAAGCCACAUACCAAGAUGCUAAACUAUAGGUGUUUCGUUCUUGACACUUUCAUGACAAUACGUGAGACGAGUUGCGAGACGUAGCUUUCUGCAUUGUUUACUUUUUGUUUGGUUGUGUCGUUAUGGUUUCAUAUCAACUCGCUGAGGAAAACAACUGAAGAAAGAAAUAAGCAAAUAUAUAUUCGUGAAAAAUAGUGUACUAGAGCUGCAAUAAGAUACACAGGUCGGAGGCCACUGAUCAUUCAACAAGAGCCAAAGGUUGUACCGCUCAUGGCAACUCUACACGAGCUGAAGAUUGUACCGUCCAGUGACCAUUCUACCCUGGAUUCCUCGAGUCAAGAGAGACGCACCACGAUUGAUAUGAGGUACAGACUAGGGGGGCGUCGCUGAUCAAUGGUCAGUUAUACUCCAAUAGGAAGUAUCCCGUGUCGGCCACACAUACAUAGUACUGGAGACUGCAACAUCCCAAUUAUGAGAUCUUUGUAAUACUAACCUCGAGCCAACCGCGAGUAAUCGGUUACAUAUUACUAACAUAGUUGUAAGACAAAAAUUGUUAAAAUAUUGGACUCCCGGCCCCGUCAAGCUACGUGCCUUAAUAAAAUAUAUAUUUUGGUAAAAAAAUUAUAUAUUAUUCAAUAUUUUUGGGGGACAGUGAGGAUUUGAUUAGCUUGUGAGUGUGAUAAAAGUGCUAUAAGUCUAAGAAAUCUGUUGUCCAACUCCUCCACAGAUAAUCGUUCAUCUCGCGGUUCUCUAUCAUGCCAAAAUUAUAUUGUGAAUAUUUUAUUUACUUCAGAUGCCGUAUUAUUGUGCAGUAAAAGGAUGUGGAAACAAGGUUCUCAUAACGAAAAAUAACCCGGACAUUGUUUACCACACUUUUCUCCGAGAUGGAGAUAAAAAUCAAAAAUCAAAUCAUAUGCUCACGUCAUUUCCAUAGAAGCAGUUACGAUGACCGACAUCAAAUGCGCCAUGAACUUAAUGGUACGAGGAAAUAUAGGAUGUUGAAUUCCAAAGUUAAACAUUUUUUCUGCCUUAUAUGUAUCAGCCAUUCCAUGUCUAACCGAUAUAGUGGUUCUCCGAUUUUCGUGGAAAGUGGUAGAUUGUAGACUUUAUUGUAAAAUAUUAGACCCGUCUUUUCUUGUUUUUUUUUUAUUAGGGCUGUGUGGUAUACGUUGCAAAUCGUGAAUAUUGUCACCGGAUUAAGGGCAUUGUAGUGAUGUAGAACGUUGAACUUUUGACUAGUCUGAAAUCGAUCCACCGCCGCAACAAUAAGAAAUUUCUCACCGUGCAAUUUUUCGAAAUGACUGGUAUACUCAUCGGCAGUGCGGAAAUACUCUCGGCAUACAAAGCAGCAGCGCAAAGAGGGGUCCAAAUUGUGUUUCAGCAUACGUUCCACCGUAGUCACAUAACGAAUUUCCGAUAGAAGUCGAUUCGCCGCUACCAUCUCUUUAAUUUCCUUCAAAACUAUGUCGUUUUGUAAAAUUGCAUCCAGCAUACGCAGGAAUUUGUU
Long non-coding RNA from Toxorhynchites rutilus septentrionalis, 2089 nucleotides. RefSeq lists it as uncharacterized. Lineage: Eukaryota; Metazoa; Arthropoda; Insecta; Diptera; Culicidae. The transcript is spliced from 2 exons. The record is from RefSeq and is a predicted model, not a curated record.